GAUGAACGCUGGCGGCGUGCCUAAUACAUGCAAGUCGAACGCGCAGCGAAAGGUGCUUGCACCUUUCAAGUGAGUGGCGAACGGGUGAGUAACACGUGGAUAACCUACCUCAAGGUUGGGGAUAACAUUUGGAAACAGAUGCUAAUACCGAAUAAAACUUAGUAUCGCAUGAUACCAGGUUAAAAGGCGCUACGGCGUCACCUAGAGAUGGAUCCGCGGUGCAUUAGUUAGUUGGUGGGGUAAAGGCUUACCAAGACAAUGAUGCAUAGCCGAGUUGAGAGACUGAUCGGCCACAUUGGGACUGAGACACGGCCCAAACUCCUACGGGAGGCUGCAGUAGGGAAUCUUCCACAAUGGGCGAAAGCCUGAUGGAGCAACGCCGCGUGUGUGAUGAAGGCUUUCGGGUCGUAAAGCACUGUUGUAUGGGAAGAACAGCUAGAGUAGGGAAUGACUUUAGUUUGACGGUACCAUACCAGAAAGGGACGGCUAAAUACGUGCCAGCAGCCGCGGUAAUACGUAUGUCCCGAGCGUUAUCCGGAUUUAUUGGGCGUAAAGCGAGCGCAGACGGUUAAUUAAGUCUGAUGUGAAAGCCCGGAGCUCAACUCCGGAAAGGCAUUGGAAACUGGUUAACUUGAGUGCAGUAGAGGUAAGUGGAACUCCAUGUGUAGCGGUGGAAUGCGUAGAUAUAUGGAAAAACACCAGCGGCGAAGGCGGCUUACUGGACUGUAACUGACGUUGAGGCUCGAAAGUGUGGGUAGCAAACAGGAUUAGAUACCCUGGUAGUC
Molecule: ribosomal RNA, 785 nt
Filed under: uncultured Leuconostoc sp.
Lineage: Bacteria; Bacillati; Bacillota; Bacilli; Lactobacillales; Lactobacillaceae
Description: bacterial SSU rRNA
Rfam family: Bacterial small subunit ribosomal RNA
Source: RNAcentral